RNAcentral lists this transfer RNA (82 nucleotides) under Chlorokybus atmophyticus. Its description in RNAcentral is "tRNA-Leu (CAA) (tRNA-Leu-CAA-4-1)". It matches the Rfam family "tRNA". From Rfam's summary of the family: Transfer RNA (tRNA) molecules are approximately 80 nucleotides in length. Their secondary structure includes four short double-helical elements and three loops (D, anti-codon, and T loops). Lineage: Eukaryota; Viridiplantae; Streptophyta; Chlorokybophyceae; Chlorokybales; Chlorokybaceae. The record is from RNAcentral.
GGGCGUGUGGCGGAAUUGGUAGACGCACCACAUUCAAAAUGUGGCGGCUUAGGCCUUGAGGGUUCGAGUCCCUCCCCGCCUA